Molecule: ribosomal RNA, 253 nt
Filed under: uncultured bacterium
Lineage: Bacteria
Description: partial 16S ribosomal RNA
Rfam family: Bacterial small subunit ribosomal RNA
Source: RNAcentral
UACGGGGGGGGCAAGCGUUGUUCGGAAUUACUGGGCGUAAAGGGCUCGUAGGUGGCCAACUAAGUCAGACGUGAAAUCCCUCAGCUUAACUGGGGAACUGCGUCUGAUACUGGAUGGCUUGAGUUUGGGAGAGGGAUGCGGAAUUCCAGGUGUAGCGGUGAAAUGCGUAGAUAUGCGGAGGAACACCGAUGGCGAAGGCAAUCCCCUGGACCUGUACUGACGCUCAUGCACGAAAGCGUGGGGAGCAAACAGG